RNAcentral lists this ribosomal RNA (479 nucleotides) under uncultured bacterium. RNAcentral describes it as "bacterial SSU rRNA". It matches the Rfam family "Bacterial small subunit ribosomal RNA", at positions 40 to 518 of the family's 1533-position model. The record is from RNAcentral.
CGGCGUGCCUAACACAUGCAAGUCGAGCGGAGUGCAGUGUCUAAGAGACUUCGGUCAAAUUAAUCUGUACUUAGCGGCGGAUGGGUGAGGAACGCGUGGAGAACCUGCCCUUCACAGGGGGAUAACAGUUGGAAACGGCUGUUAAUACCGCAUAUGCUCACGGCACCGCAUGGUGCAGGGAGGAAAGCCGAGACGGUGAAGGAUGGCUCCGCGUCGGAUUAGCCAGUUGGCGGGGUAACGGCCCACCAAAGCGAUGAUCCGUAGCCGGCCUGAGAGGGCGACCGGCCACAUUGGGACUGAGACACGGCCCAAACUCCUACGGGAGGCAGCAGUGGGGGAUAUUGCACAAUGGGGGAAACCCUGAUGCAGCCGACGCCGCGUGAAGGAAGAAGUGCUUCGGCAUGUAAACUUCUAUCAGCAGGGAAGAAGAUGACGGUACCUGCACAAGAAGCCCCGGCUAACUACGUGCCAGCCGCGGC